Molecule: ribosomal RNA, 248 nt
Filed under: uncultured Actinomycetales bacterium
Lineage: Bacteria; Bacillati; Actinomycetota; Actinomycetes; Actinomycetales
Description: partial 16S ribosomal RNA
Rfam family: Bacterial small subunit ribosomal RNA
Source: RNAcentral
GGGUGCGCGAGUGGCGAACGGGUGAGUAACACGUGAGUAACCUGCCCUUGACUUUGGGAUAACUUCAGGAAACUGGGGCUAAUACCGGAUAGGAGCUCCUGCUGCAUGGUGGGGGUUGGAAAGUUUCGGCGGUUGGGGAUGGACUCGCGGCUUAUCGGCUUGUUGGUGGGGUAGUGGCUUACCAAGGCUUUGACGGGUAGCCGGCCUGAGAGGGUGACCGGCCACAUUGGGACUGAGAUACGGCCCAG